UGGGGAAUAUUGCACAAUGGGCGAAAGCCUGAUGCAGCAACGCCGCGUGAGGGACGACGGCCUUCGGGUUGUAAACCUCUUUUAGCAAGGAAGAAGCGAAAGUGACGGUACUUGCAGAAAAAGCGCCGGCUAACUACGUGCCAGCAGCCACGGUAAUACGUAGGGCGCAAGCGUUAUCCGGAAUUAUUGGGCGUAAAGAGCUCGUAGGCGGUUUGUCGCGUCUGCUGUGAAAACCCGAGGCUCAACCUCGGGCCUGCAGUGGGUACGGGCAGACUAGAGUGCGGUAGGGGAGAUUGGAACUCCUGGUGUAGCGGUGGAAUGCGCAGAUAUCAGGAAGAACACCGAUGGCGAAGGCAGAUCUCUGGGCCGUAACUGACGCUGAGGAGCGAAAAGGGUGGGGAGCAAAACAGGCUUAGAUACCCUGGUAGUCCACCCCGUAAACGUUGGGAACUAGUUGUGGGGUCCAUUCCACGGAUUCCGUGACGCAGCUAACGCAUUAAGUUCCCCGCCUGGGGAGUACGGCCGCAAGGCUAAAACU
Molecule: ribosomal RNA, 538 nt
Filed under: uncultured bacterium
Lineage: Bacteria
Description: partial 16S ribosomal RNA
Rfam family: Bacterial small subunit ribosomal RNA
Source: RNAcentral